Molecule: small nucleolar RNA, 87 nt
Organism: Magnolia sinica
Lineage: Eukaryota; Viridiplantae; Streptophyta; Magnoliopsida; Magnoliales; Magnoliaceae
Product: small nucleolar RNA Z102/R77
Exons: 1
Source: RefSeq, a predicted model, not a curated record
GAGUGAAAUGAUGAUUUGGAUAGUUUCCCUAUUGGUUUGAUGGCCAGGAUGAUGGCUUCAUUUUGUAUUAGCUCUAUCUGAUCACUC